RNAcentral lists this ribosomal RNA (732 nucleotides) under uncultured Lachnospiraceae bacterium. RNAcentral's name for it is "bacterial SSU rRNA". It matches the Rfam family "Bacterial small subunit ribosomal RNA", at positions 44 to 776 of the family's 1533-position model. Lineage: Bacteria; Bacillati; Bacillota; Clostridia; Lachnospirales; Lachnospiraceae. The record is from RNAcentral.
GUGCCUAACACAUGCAAGUCGAACGAAGCGCUUUCUUUUGAUUCUUCGGAUGAAGAAGACUGUGACUGAGUGGCGGACGGGUGAGUAACGCGUGGGCAACCUGCCCUGUACAGGGGGAUAACAGUUAGAAAUGACUGCUAAUACCGCAUAAGCGCACGAGGACGCAUGUUCUUGUGUGAAAAACUCCGGUGGUACAGGAUGGGCCCGCGUCUGAUUAGGUAGUUGGUGGGGCAGCGGCCUACCAAGCCGACGAUCAGUAGCCGACCUGAGAGGGUGACCGGCCACAUUGGGACUGAGACACGGCCCAAACUCCUACGGGAGGCAGCAGUGGGGAAUAUUGCACAAUGGGGGAAACCCUGAUGCAGCGACGCCGCGUGAAGGAAGAAGUAUUUCGGUAUGUAAACUUCUAUCAGCAGGGAAGAAACUGACGGUACCUGACUAAGAAGCACCGGCUAAAUACGUGCCAGCAGCCGCGGUAAUACGUAUGGUGCAAGCGUUAUCCGGAUUUACUGGGUGUAAAGGGAGCGUAGACGGAGAGGCAAGUCUGAAGUGAAAGCCCGGGGCUCAACCCCGGGACUGCUUUGGAAACUGCAGUUCUAGAGUGCCGGAGAGGUAAGCGGAAUUCCUAGUGUAGCGGUGAAAUGCGUAGAUAUUAGGAGGAACACCAGUGGCGAAGGCGGCUUACUGGACGGUGACUGACGUUGAGGCUCGAAAGCGUGGGGAGCAAACAGG